UCUGAAACUCGACCUCAUGAAGCCGGAAUCGCUAGUAAUCGCCAAUCAGCCAUGUGGCGAUGAAUAUGUUCCUGGGUCCUGCACUCACCGCCCGUCAACUCAAGCGAGCCGGGGAUGCCCGAAGUGCCCCGCAAGGGGAGCCAAGGUAGACUCGGUGAGAGGGGGUAAGUCGUAACAAGGCACGCGUAGCGGAAGCUGUGCGUGGAUCACAACAUUU
Molecule: ribosomal RNA, 217 nt
Filed under: bacterium
Lineage: Bacteria
Description: partial 16S ribosomal RNA
Rfam family: Bacterial small subunit ribosomal RNA
Source: RNAcentral